GCCGCGCUAUGGCGGAGCCGGAGUUGAGUGCGGAGUCCUUGCGGGAGCGGCGGGAACUGGGCGCGGAGCACGUGGAGGUGGAGGACACAACGGCAUCAUGCUGCAAGAGCAGUUUCCGUGUCCUUGUGGUGGCAGCGGCAUUCUGUAGGCAGGGGCUGAUGCAGCGGCACCGGUGAGUGUGGGCUGCAGCCCUACAGCAACUUCCAACCUCAUAGCAACCCAGUAGUAACCCUAUAAUGACCCUGUAGUAGCCCCAUGGCCCCCCUAGCCCCACAUUGGCUCCUGUGCUCCACAUCGACUCCCACACCCCACAGCGUCCCCCUAGCCUCACGUUGGCACCGUGCCUCACAUCACCCCCCAGCCCAAUAGCAACCACCCAGCCCCAUCACGCCCCCCCCAUACCACACAUCCCACUGCUCCCCCCACACCCCAUAGUAAUUCCCCCAGCCCUACAUCAGUGCCGUGCCCCACAGCCUGCUGAACGUGGUGCUGAAGUGCAUCCAUGCAUUGGAACAGUGCACUCUGACCCCAGAGCAGUGUGCAGCCAAGGUGGGGGUGGGGUUACAGUGAGCCAUGCCCCUGAUGACAUUACUUCCGGUCACGUGGUGCUGCCUGUCUGGUGGGAAUGGGGGGGGUCAAUGGGAGGACACCGUGGAGAUCCCAGAUCCCAGUUGUGAUCCUGUUACGGACCAUGCCUUCUGUUAUCCCCAUCAGACCUCAAUUAAACAGACCCCCCUUACAUUACAUUAAUUCAUUAAAGUUAAUUACAUUAAUUCAUUAAAGUAAGGCUCUCCAAUUAAAUGUUUUUAAUAGAA
Long non-coding RNA from Numida meleagris (helmeted guineafowl), 815 nucleotides. RefSeq lists it as uncharacterized. The transcript has 2 exons. The record is from RefSeq and is a predicted model, not a curated record. Lineage: Eukaryota; Metazoa; Chordata; Aves; Galliformes; Numididae.